RNAcentral lists this ribosomal RNA (300 nucleotides) under uncultured bacterium. RNAcentral describes it as "bacterial SSU rRNA". It matches the Rfam family "Bacterial small subunit ribosomal RNA", at positions 1081 to 1382 of the family's 1533-position model. The record is from RNAcentral.
UAAGUCCCGCAACGAGCGCAACCCCUAUCCUUAGUUGCCAGCGAUUCGGUCGGGAACUCUAAGGAGACUGCCGGUGAUAAACCGGAGGAAGUGGGGACGACGUCAAGUCAUCAUGGCCCUUACGUGUAGGGCUACACACGUGCUACAAUGGCGCAUACAGAGUGCUGCGAACUCGCGAGAGUAAGCGAAUCACUUAAAGUGCGUCGUAGUCCGGAUUGGAGUCUGCAACUCGACUCCAUGAAGUCGGAAUCGCUAGUAAUCGCAGGUCAGAAUACUGCGGUGAAUACGUUCCCGGGCCUU